Molecule: ribosomal RNA, 400 nt
Filed under: uncultured bacterium
Lineage: Bacteria
Description: bacterial SSU rRNA
Rfam family: Bacterial small subunit ribosomal RNA
Source: RNAcentral
UGGGGAAUCUUCCGCAAUGGACGAAAGUCUGACGGAGCAACGCCGCGUGAGUGAAGAAGGUCUUCGGAUUGUAAAGCUCUGUCGUUUGGGACGAACGUAUCCUGUGUGAAUAAUGCAGGGUAAUGACGGUACCAAAGGAGGAAGCCACGGCUAACUACGUGCCAGCAGCCGCGGUAAUACGUAGGUGGCAAGCGUUGUCCGGAAUUAUUGGGCGUAAAGGGCGUGUAGGUGGAUUCUUAAGUCUUGUGUCUAAGUGCGGGGCUCAACCCCGUAUGGGCGCAGGAAACUGGGAAUCUUGAGUGCAGGAGAGGAAAGUGGAAUUCCCAGUGUAGCGGUGAAAUGCGUAGAUAUUGGGAGGAACACCAGUGGCGAAGGCGACUUUCUGGACUGUGUCUGACAC